Molecule: non-coding RNA, 197 nt
Filed under: Nitrospirota bacterium
Lineage: Bacteria; Pseudomonadati; Nitrospirota
Source: RNAcentral
UAAAUAUCCUACAAUCCAGGUGUGUAUAACCUGAUAAAGGCUGUACAAAAAGGGAACCCUGUGAGAUUCAGGGGUGGUCCCGCCGCUGUGAUUGGGGACGAAAGCCAUGUAUUGACCACUGGGAUAUUUAUUCCGGGAAGGUGUGGUGAGUAGGGUGAUCCAAGAGCCAGAAGACCUGCCUGGUUUAUAAGUGCAAG